GCCCGCACAAGCGGCGGAGCAUGCGGAUUAAUUCGAUGCAAACGCGAAGAACCUUACCAAGGGCUUGACAUACACCGGAAACAUCCAGAGAUGGGUGCCCCGCAAGGUCGGUGUACAGGUGGUGCAUGGUUGUCGUCAGCUCGUGUCGUGAGAUGUUGGGUUAAGUCCCGCAACGAGCGCAACCCUCGUUCUAUGUUGCCAGCGCGUUAUGGCGGGGACUCAUAGGAGACUGCCGGGGUCAACUCGGAGGAAGGUGGGGAUGACGUCAAAUCAUCAUGCCCCUUAUGUCUUGGGCUUCACGCAUGCUACAAUGGCCGGUACAAAGGGCUGCGAUACCGCGAGGUGGAGCGAAUCCCAAAAAACCGGUCUCAGUUCGGAUUGGGGUCUGCAACUCGACCCCAUGAAGUCGGAGUCGCUAGUAAUCGCAGAUCAGCAACGCUGCGGUGAAUACGUUCCCGGGCCUUGUACACACCGCCCGUCAAGUCACGAAAGUCGGUAACACCCGAAGCCGGUGGCCUAACCCUUGUGGGGGGAGCCGUCGAAGGUGGGACUGGCGAUUGGGAGUAAGUCGUA
This 573-nucleotide ribosomal RNA is filed under the name Ornithinicoccus sp. STM 379. RNAcentral's name for it is "bacterial SSU rRNA". It matches the Rfam family "Bacterial small subunit ribosomal RNA", at positions 919 to 1490 of the family's 1533-position model. The record is from RNAcentral. Lineage: Bacteria; Bacillati; Actinomycetota; Actinomycetes; Micrococcales; Intrasporangiaceae.